CAGCCGCCGCGGGAAUACGAAGGAUGCAAGCGUUAAUCGGAAUUACUGGGCGUAAAGCGUGCGUAGGCGGUUUGUUAAGUCUGUUGUGAAAUCCCCGGGCUCAACCUGGGAAUGGCAAUGGAUACUGGCAAGCUAGAGUGCGUCAGAGGAUGGUGGAAUUCCCGGUGUAGCGGUGAAAUGCGUAGAGAUCGGGAGGAACAUCAGUGGCGAAGGCGGCCAUCUGGGACAACACUGACGCUGAGGCACGAAAGCGUGGGGAGCAAACAGGAUUAGAUACCCCAGUAGUCCCUGUCUCUUAUAC
RNAcentral lists this ribosomal RNA (301 nucleotides) under uncultured bacterium. Its description in RNAcentral is "partial 16S ribosomal RNA". It matches the Rfam family "Bacterial small subunit ribosomal RNA", at positions 509 to 807 of the family's 1533-position model. The record is from RNAcentral.